This 615-nucleotide ribosomal RNA is filed under the name Paenibacillus pabuli. RNAcentral's name for it is "bacterial SSU rRNA". It matches the Rfam family "Bacterial small subunit ribosomal RNA", at positions 16 to 610 of the family's 1533-position model. Lineage: Bacteria; Bacillati; Bacillota; Bacilli; Caryophanales; Paenibacillaceae. The record is from RNAcentral.
AUCCUGGCUCAGGACGAACGCUGGCGGCAUGCCUAAUACAUGCAAGUCGAGCGGACUUGAAGAGAAGCUUGCUUCUCUGAUAGUUAGCGGCGGACGGGUGAGUAACACGUAGGCAACCUGCCCUCAAGUUUGGGACAACUACCGGAAACGGUAGCUAAUACCGAAUAGUUGUUUUCUUCUCCUGAAGAGAACUGGAAAGACGGAGCAAUCUGUCACUUGGGGAUGGGCCUGCGGCGCAUUAGCUAGUUGGUGGGGUAACGGCUCACCAAGGCGACGAUGCGUAGCCGACCUGAGAGGGUGAUCGGCCACACUGGGACUGAGACACGGCCCAGACUCCUACGGGAGGCAGCAGUAGGGAAUCUUCCGCAAUGGGCGAAAGCCUGACGGAGCAAUGCCGCGUGAGUGAUGAAGGUUUUCGGAUCGUAAAGCUCUGUUGCCAGGGAAGAACGCUUGGGAGAGUAACUGCUCUCAAGGUGACGGUACCUGAGAAGAAAGCCCCGGCUAACUACGUGCCAGCAGCCGCGGUAAUACGUAGGGGGCAAGCGUUGUCCGGAAUUAUUGGGCGUAAAGCGCGCGCAGGCGGUCAUUUAAGUCUGGUGUUUAAUCCCGGGGCUC